Non-coding RNA from Leptonychotes weddellii (Weddell seal), 5304 nucleotides. Lineage: Eukaryota; Metazoa; Chordata; Mammalia; Carnivora; Phocidae. The record is from RefSeq and is a predicted model, not a curated record.
CCUCUUAAGGCUGAGACUGAUCUGGGAGGCUCAGUGGUGCCAAGACUUUUUCAACCCACUCUGUUCCAGUGGCCCGGACACCCAGCUGACUUUUGAUUCCCAGAAGCCACUCACUGAGAAAUGCUGUCCAGUCUGGACCCACCCAAGCCAGACCCUCCUCCUGAUGACAAAGGAAGAGCUGAGGCCCCCACACAGGGGUCCUCCCCUCAAAGGCACCUCACUACGCUGUGGCGUUGGGAAGCCAUGUUUGCCAGCCCUGUGGAAGAGCAGUAGCCCACAAAGCUUGGGCUGGACAGGUUGCUCGCCCUCACCAUCCAAGAGUCACGAGGCACCUUUUGUAAGUGGAGGGCUUGCUCCAGAUCCCCAGAGCUUCCAGCAAAAAGUGUUUCCAGAAGUAUCCAAUGACGCUAGUGGUCUAGUGGUUUCCUUUUGAAUGUCGCCCACCCUGGCCUGUGCUCAAAUUCUCAAACUUCAGAAUUAUUAUCUUAAAAUUCAGAUUCCUACAUCCUACCCACAGAGAUCUGUAUUCAAUAGGUCUCAUGUGCGUGCUUUACCAGCACCCCAGGAUUCCUAGAAGCAUUGUUUCCAGCCUCACCAGACCCGGGAAACAUUCACAGACAUUCCUUUCAUGGAGCAAGACACGAGAGUCCAGAGGUGCUACGUGCCGGCAAGUCACCCUCUUACCUGUGUAUCAGGCUCCCGCUUGAUCCAGUAAGACCAGGUCCAGGCCCUUGGGCGGGGUGCUUGGAAGAGAACUGGCCAGUGCAGUGAAUGGCCCCGUCUUCUGGAAACUCCGUGUUUAGGCAAUUCUUGCAUUCCAGUCCCCUGCUCCACACCGCACUCCUCUGGAUGGAGGGACACACACACACACACACACACACACACACACACUCCCCGCUCAUGGAAAGGGAAAGGCUCUGUGAAGUCGACGACGCAAGCCCCACAGGCUCUGUGACCCUGAGACUCUCAGAAAUCACCACGGGGCCAGCAGGUCGCAACUCGAGGGGCUGCCGCUCACACUUGUCACCGGCAUCACUGCUUCCCUAGAGUCCCCAGAGGUCAAGAGAAAACUCCACAGGGACAGAAGUUGUGGCUUUGACCUCAGAAAUCACAAGAGCUCUGUAUGUGGGGAUGGAAGGACCAAGGGGCAUUGGGAGAGGCCCCCUACAGGGAGCCCUCUGGAUUGGUGCGUCCCAGGUACUACACCCCUGUUCUCACAGGGUCGCCUGUGACAUCGUGACCCCGCUUGGGGCCUCAGUUCACCGAUCUGUAAAAUGUUGGACUGGAUGAGUAAUCACCAAUUAUUAUCACCAUUAUCCUGAUUACUGUUGGGCUCAAGAUCCCAUUCUUCAAAUGAAACCCCUUGUAGAGCCUCAAUAAGGAAGAGGGUAUCUGAUUGAAAAUGGAGCUUAGGGGCCCAUGUCCCUUGUCUCCCCCUUGUUCUGAGGACCCCUACGGCUCUUGAGAAUUGUUUAAAAACUGCUAAGCUAGCUGAGCUCCCGGUCCAUGCAGCUGAACUCUGGCAACUGCCCUCAUGGAAACCCUCCAGGACUCCAAAUGACCCAACUCCAGCCACUGUGACCUCAGAAUGACAGGAAGCACACAUAAUCGGACUCUGGGAACCCGGUGAAGUAACUCUGUUCACCUUGUGAACAGAAUGCGAUUAUUCUAUCGCUCAGACUGUGCCAUCUCUGGGGCUGUUUGAGUUCUGAAUCCUGCUCUCCCACUCCCCAAUCUGCCUUCCCGGUGAGUUCAGAAUCACCUAGAAUCCCAAGUGUAAGUGGCAAAUCUAGGAUAGUCAACUCCAUACCUAACUUUAGAUGAAUACGGAUCCUUCUCUAAGACUCUGGCGCAUGGGAAAUGUCAUCAUCCCUGUCACUCGAGUGUGUAUUAAAAUGAGGGCCCAUUACUAUUACCCCAUUAUGCAGCUGAGGAAAACAGACUCGGGGUCACCAAGAAGUGGAGCUGGGAUUUUGGGGCGGGGGAAAGUCAGCCAGUGCUCACGGACAGGCGGUGGGUGCUAAGAUCGCUUGUCUGAGCCCAUCUCAUCUCUGAGGAUGACAACAAUACUGUCCUUGGUUGCUGGAGUGAUUAACUGAGAUAGUCCAAGUAGAAGCCCUCAGCAUAGCCCAGACAUGUGUGCGGGAACUCAGUAAAGGUUGGCUCCAAAUACUAGAGUUAUAAACCCUGCUUCCUAAUACCACCAGACGCCAGAUAGUCUUUCAUAGAAAAUAGGAUUUAUUUUCACAUUUCAAGUGAACACAAAUAAAUGUCCCACAAGUGUACUAUAUACAAAAUCAGUAGAUAUAUUAAACACAGAAAAAUCAAAGCCCUCCAGAAAAGACAUGUUUGCUUUCUUCCAGAGCACGUUUGGGCCAUUUCCAUUCUUCACCAAUUCACGGACUAGGCACAGUACGCAGUGGGUUUGUUCCCAGGUUCGUCUGCUUCUACCCCCACGGACCCUUCCUCAAAAACCCCAGCAGCAAACCAAGAGGAUUCACAGUGGCCGGGGGUAAAUGCCGUGGCCGAGGACCGUGCACAAAAGCCCCAACUACGUUCCAAAGGCCAGGCUCUGGGGUUCUGUGGCUUCGGCCACCAAGUGGGGUCCUGCCAUGGCACGGAGUAGUUAAGUGUCACAGCUUCAUUUCUUGGCAAUCUUGCUAGUCAAAUUAUUCCAAUUAGAAGAGGUCACUACCCAGAUAUAAUGGCCCUUUUGCGGCGGCUGGCUUUCCCCGCUCGGCCGAGGAAAAGGCAGAAACCUGUCCCCAAAGCUGAGCCAUCACCACCCCCCCGAAGUCCAAGGCACGGGUGAACUUGGGCUGGGGGAUCACAGAGAAGGCCUGAUGAGGAGUGGUGACAUCAUGUCCGUGAUACUCGUCCAGAAAUGGGGCGGUGAGGGGGGGCGGACACUGGGGAAGCAGCGUGGCGGGCCCGGUGGAGAGCGGACGCUCCGCAGAGGCCUUCCUCCAGCACACAGUGACAGCGGCAUGAACACAGGCAACCGGACGGGGCACUGUUGCUGGCGUCCGACGUGGCCACCUCGGUGUGUCACCACGUGGGCGGCCACUACCAGCCCAGCACCCUGUGGCCGAGGCCGGUUAGCUCAACUGGCCACAGUCUGUGAUGACGAUCUUCCUGGACGUCUUCCCACUCCUGGAACCGAAAGAUUCGAUUUUCUUCACGACAUCCAUGCCUUCUUUGACAUGGCCGAACACGACAUGCUUGCCAUCCAACCUGUGAGUUGAGCCAGGGAAGAAUAUGAGUAGUGCAAUGCCACCCAAUGUCAUUGUCACCUGGUCAUGGAACUAUUUAUCGGAGACAGCGAUUCUGGAAGGGACUCACUCUGAAAGUCUGGACCCACCCCUUACGGCUCCGGUAUCAAGGCUUGCGGAGCUCCCCCAAAUACACCAGAGGGUCCCUCCCUUCCGGGGCACGUGCUGCCUGCCCUGCCGUGUGACCUUGCCCCCGGGCCACUUCACCUGGAUCCUGGUAACCUCAGCUAUGGAAAGUGAAUUAUUCUUGUUCCGCACAGGGGGUGAACAGGGUAUCCAACUACUCUCAAGAAAUAAGAGGUCCGUGUAAAUAGGACCAUCUUAAUGGUCAUGAGUGGCAAGGGAAGAGCCAAGACAGCAAGCGCGGCUCUCCAUUUGAGAGAGUUCCAAGAAUCCAAAAGGCAGCUUAGUCCAGUGGCAGCAAGGUCAACACUGGUUACAUCCAAGGGCAGCGCUGCAGGCCCUGCCGGGGGUUCCGCGGAAGGAGCGCAGAACAGGCGGAGCCAGCCAAUGGCCUGCCCACGCCCUGACAUGUCUGUCCCCUCCGGCUUGGGGGCCAGAGACAGCUGGUGUCCACCUACCACUCAGGUCUCCUAAAGUCCUAGGAAAUGGGCUUUAUUAAAGAAUUGGCUCUUGGCCAGCUAUUGUCCCCUCAAGCCCAUAUGCCUCAGGGCUAGGACACAGGCGACUGUGGGCAGAGGAACUUAUUAGGUGGUGGGAUCCACAGGCACGUGGGCAAGAGAGCUCCAAGGUGCGUUCCAAGCUCGAGGUAAGCCGGGAAACACCAGUUUAAACCAAGCAAAUAGGCUGCCUCCACAGGCCAUCUUGAGGCCUGGCAGGUUCUGCAGCAUGUCCCAAACGUAUGUGGUGAAAGUCCUUUUGCACAACACAUGGAGAAAAUUCCAGCUGACAGCAAAUGGAAGCCUAACAUAGACACAAUUGUAAGAACAACCCACAUUCUCCCUCAGUCCUUUUACAAACUUGGUCCUUCUCCCACAUGGCCACACAGCCCAGCUGAGGGCUCCUGCCCCAGAGCGCAGGGCAGCCUCACACCACCUUCCCCAAGAAGCACACAGACCCUCCUCUGGCUGCCAGGCCACCCCUCAUGCCCAGCGGGCCUGCAGCCCGCGGCAGGGGACUCACCAGUCUGUCUUUAUGGUGCAGAUGAAGAACUGGGAGCCGUUGGUGUUGGGGCCUGCGUUUGCCAUGGACAGGACACCUGCAAAAACAGGCAGGAGGAAGCCAUGCUGACCCAGGAGGCACCUCACUGGGAAGCUACAGACAAGAGCGGCCGCUCCCCCCACAACAAGGCCACUGGGGUCUGACGGUCUUGGAGCUUGAAGAGGAUGAGCAGCUCCCCGGGGCCUGCCCACCCGUGCUGCCCCAGGGACAAGAGGGCCUUGUGGAAGCUCUCCAUGGCAGGGCCAGAACGGGACUUUGGCACUCUGCAUCUUGGGUCUUAAACGUGACACAACGCUGGGUUUUGCUGAAAGGCUUUCUCUCCCAGCGUCUCAAAGGGAGGCUUGUUUUUUAAACGGAGAGCUCAGCAUGACAAAACUCCAGGAAAACUAACACUCCAACCCGGAGUGCUGAAGGAGGGAAGGAGCAUCACCGGAUAUGGGGCAAUCGGUCCCAGCCUCCCAGGCAUGGUGGGUAUGGUGGGCCUGGCAGUGUCCGGGCCGAGCUCAGGGCAUUCAGACCGGGGAACGGCGGCCCCCACUCACCUGGUCCCACGUGCUUCAGUGUGAAGUUCUCAUCAGGAAAGCGGCUUCCAUAGAUGGACUUGCCCCCGGUGCCAUUGUGGUUGGUGAAGUCGCCGGCCUGUGAGCACAGAGCACCUUCUGAGCGGCCACCCCCCAGAACUGGCAGGGGGAGGCUGCCGUGGCGCGGGGAGGUGGCCCCCAACCCACCUGGGGCCCACCCAGCCAGAAGCCCCGCAGGCCAAGGGGUCAGAAAACAUCCAAGGUUGUCCGGACUCAUGAAAUAACAAGGAAAAUAAGCAAAAAUAAAGCUUCAAUAUUUUCUGCCAUUA